ACCAGGGCUCCGAGUCCUUCUAUCUGGGAGGCCCAGGCGGCUUCGAGUUCUGAGAAUAGACAGAACCUCUGUUGCUCUGUGACCUGCAGGCACUGGGAGAUCCGUAGCUAAGACGCCAGGACAUCCCGGAAGCUGGGAAAUGAUAUCUUUUCUCAUGAUUCUCAAGGCCUCUUAAGAAAGAAGCUUAUAGAAGCAUCAUUCCAAAAAGUGAUAUUGGAUGGAUAUGGCAGCUGUGGCCCUCAGAAUUUAAACUUAAGGAAAGAGUGGGAAAAUGAGGGCAAAAUAAUCCUAUGGUGAAAAAAAUCAACACAGAUAAUCUCUGCUUGAGAAAAAGGAUCAAAGACAAGUGAAUUUUCUGAGGGUGAUGAAAGUAUUACUUUGAAAAGGG
RNAcentral lists this small RNA (388 nucleotides) under Pongo abelii (Sumatran orangutan). RNAcentral describes it as "processed transcript". Lineage: Eukaryota; Metazoa; Chordata; Mammalia; Primates; Hominidae. The record is from RNAcentral.